UACGUAGGGGGCAAGCGUUGUCCGGAAUCAUUGGGCGUAAAGAGCGUGUAGGCGGUCCGGUCAGUCGGUUGUGGAAGUCAAGGGCUCAACCCUUGAAUGCCGGCCGAUACUGCUGUGACUUGAGUCUGGUAGGGGAGUGGGGAAUUCCUGGUGUAGCGGUGAAAUGCGCAGAUAUCAGGAGGAACACCGGUGGCGAAGGCGCCACUCUGGGCCACGACUGACGCUGAGGAGCGAAAGCAUGGGUAGCAAACAGG
RNAcentral lists this ribosomal RNA (254 nucleotides) under uncultured bacterium. RNAcentral's name for it is "partial 16S ribosomal RNA". It matches the Rfam family "Bacterial small subunit ribosomal RNA", at positions 524 to 776 of the family's 1533-position model. The record is from RNAcentral.